GGAGGAGAAACGAGGCCGCGAGCAACGGCGAGCCCGCGACGGCGAGAAACCGCCAGAGAAAGAGUAGAGACCGAGGCAAGGGCGGCCGUAGAGACUGAGGCGAGAGCGGCCACGGUGAUGCUGCGGGAUCGGCGACAAGGCUGCAACUGCAAGUGAGGAAGGACUGAAGGCGAGGUGGAGGAGGAGGAGAAGGAUUGAGAGGAAGAGGAGAGGAAGGGGGUCGUACAGAGGUCGUCCAGCGAGGAGAUGGAUCGAGAGGAAGACCGUGCGGCGAGGGGAAAAAAGUGAGGAGAGGAAGGGGUUGCGAG
RNAcentral lists this long non-coding RNA (308 nucleotides) under Eucalyptus grandis. RNAcentral describes it as "long non-coding RNA (EGRA_LNC005976)". Lineage: Eukaryota; Viridiplantae; Streptophyta; Magnoliopsida; Myrtales; Myrtaceae. The record is from RNAcentral.